AUAUAAAUGAAUACAGGAGGCAGAUAGACAAUCGACAGGUUCACUUUAAAAAGGCACACCGGAUGAGUUAAUUACCUGUCUCUAGUAGCCUUCUGGAAGCCGGAAGUGGACUCUGAGACAGACCGACACAAAACAGGAGAAUAACACAGGCAACGGCUGUAUUAUGGAGGUGAUCAGGCUCCGCUUGUCCCACUUUCCGGAG
Molecule: non-coding RNA, 202 nt
Organism: Pelobates cultripes (western spadefoot toad)
Lineage: Eukaryota; Metazoa; Chordata; Amphibia; Anura; Pelobatidae
Source: the annotation of a GenBank genome assembly